AGAAUCAACGCUGGCGGCGUGCCUCAGACAUGCAAGUCGAACGCGAAAGUUUCCUUCGGGAGACAAGUAGAGUGGCGCACGGGUGAGUAACACGUAGGUAAUCUACCUUCGGAUGGGGAAUAACAGUCGGAAACGGCUGCUAAUACCGCAUAAUGCAGCGGCACCUAAUGGUGACAGUUGUUAAAGCGGGGGAUCGAAAGACCUCGCGUCUGAAGAGGAGCCUGCGGCGGAUUAGCUAGUUGGUAAGGUAAUGGCUUACCAAGGCUACGAUCC
Molecule: ribosomal RNA, 273 nt
Filed under: uncultured bacterium
Lineage: Bacteria
Description: partial small subunit ribosomal RNA
Rfam family: Bacterial small subunit ribosomal RNA
Source: RNAcentral